Molecule: transfer RNA, 73 nt
Organism: Felis catus (domestic cat)
Lineage: Eukaryota; Metazoa; Chordata; Mammalia; Carnivora; Felidae
Rfam family: tRNA
About the family: Transfer RNA (tRNA) molecules are approximately 80 nucleotides in length. Their secondary structure includes four short double-helical elements and three loops (D, anti-codon, and T loops). Further hydrogen bonds mediate the characteristic L-shaped molecular structure. tRNAs have two regions of fundamental functional importance: the anti-codon, which is responsible for specific mRNA codon recognition, and the 3' end, to which the tRNAs corresponding amino acid is attached (by aminoacyl-tRNA synthetases). tRNAs cope with the degeneracy of the genetic code in two manners: having more than one tRNA (with a specific anti-codon) for a particular amino acid; and 'wobble' base-pairing, i.e. permitting non-standard base-pairing at the 3rd anti-codon position.
Source: Rfam
GCCUGGCUGGCUCAGUAAGUAGGGCAUGUGACUCUUGAUCUCAGGGUUAUGAGUUAGAGCCGCAUGUUGGGUG